Molecule: long non-coding RNA, 1205 nt
Organism: Olea europaea var. sylvestris
Lineage: Eukaryota; Viridiplantae; Streptophyta; Magnoliopsida; Lamiales; Oleaceae
Exons: 4
Source: RefSeq, a predicted model, not a curated record
AACGUCAUAUGUAUCUAUUGGAUAAAUAUAUGGGCAAAUUUUCCCUCUUGGGUGCAUGAAUCGAAAAAAUUUCUCAUCUUCCUGGAUGACUAUUAAAAAGGAUGGACAACUGAUCGCAAUGUAAUAUGUUGACUUCACUAUUCUCAAAAGACUACAACUCAAACAACAUGGUUUUGCUACCAUAGAAAGAGAAAUCAAUACAUAUCUAGUUUCAUUCCAUUGUUCUGGUGGAAGAAAAUGGUGCAGCUAUUCCUCAUUUUCAAGAGGCUUGGCAAUUUACUAAUUUUGGAGGAUAAACUUUGUUUUGAUACGAAUGACCUUGUGCUUUAUUUGGAAUUUGUGAUGGAAAAUGAUCUUGCUCGAAGCAAGAUAGGUGGAAGAAUUUGUGAUCUUAGUAUGGGCGGUGUAGGAAAUAUUACUCCCUCUUGCACUUUUUAUAAGGUAUAAAAAUAGCGUGGAAUUAGUCGUGGAUUGGCAUCACAAAAAAUAAUGAAUGCAAAUAAGAAUAAACUUAUUGUACAAACUAGAGGGAGAUAUAUGCUCAUUUGGUAAAGCAUUCUCUUUGCCAAUGAUAUUGACAUCAUGCGAAAUAUUGUCUCAUAGCGCUUUUUGGAGUGCAUCGACUGUCCAUGGUAGGGGAACGAGCCUACAAGCGUCUUAAUAAAGGCAGUGGAGUUGCAACAAUCACAAAAUUAGCUUGAGAAUGAUACACUUGUCAUGGAUGAAACAGUAAUACGUGCUCAAAUUCUUAGUAGGAGUUUUAAGACUUGCUCGGAUUGGACCUGGUCUGUGCAAGUUAAAUAGCAGCGCAUACACGGCUCUUUCUAGGUUUAUUACAGAGCUAAAAACCCUUAUGCAACGAGUCAAUGAGGAGGAUAAUGUUAUUAGAGAGUUUACACUACAUCUUGAAUAGCAUGCUUAUUCAAAACUUUGCUAGAAUUUGAGUUAGCAUCCUCCUACAAGGUCAACAAUGAUCCUCCACCACAGCUAUCAAUUGGUGCAGCAAUAGUUACCAAGAAAUUAUGGGAAGUUAUCUUUUUCUAGCAAAAUCUAUGCCCCUGUUUGUUUAUAUAAAAAUUAAAUUUUAGUAUAUUUUGAUAAAAAUUGAUGAAAUGUGUAGAUGAAAAGUUGUAGGAUUCUUGAAAUGUGUGGUUAAAAUUUAUUAUUGAUUUUAGAUUUUAAUAAGAUUUUUUAGUUGAACCAAA